This 594-nucleotide ribosomal RNA is filed under the name Gomphidius cf. subroseus UBCOGTR0491s. RNAcentral describes it as "eukaryotic LSU rRNA". The stretch from base 186 to 340 matches the Rfam family "5.8S ribosomal RNA". The record is from RNAcentral. Lineage: Eukaryota; Fungi; Basidiomycota; Agaricomycetes; Boletales; Gomphidiaceae.
CUCUUNUUUGGAACCCUCUUCGUUUUUUCNUNUCUUCNCCCGNGCNNCACAAUGNAGGAUGCCCCNCCUUCGGGNGGGGGGGCCUAUGUCUUCCCNCNCAACAGUUUAGAAAGUCUUUGAAUGUUUACCAUCGUCCGGCCGCGACUUCUAGGAGACGCGGGGGGGCGAGACAAAAAAGUUAUUACAACUUUCAGCAAUGGAUCUCUUGGCUCUCGCAUCGAUGAAGAACGCAGCGAAUUGCGAUAUGUAAUGUGAAUUGCAGAUCUACAGUGAAUCAUCGAAUCUUUGAACGCACAUUGCGCUCCUCGGUGUUCCGAGGAGCAUGCCUGUUUGAGUGUCAGUUAAAUUCUCAACCCCUCUCGAUUUAAUUUCGAGGGGGAGCUUGGAUGGUGGGGGUUGCUGGAGUCUCCUGGGACUCGGGCUCUCCUGAAAUGCAUUGGCUUGCGGUCGACUUUCUCCUUUGCGCGACAAGGCUUUCGGUGUGAUGAUGAUCGCCGUUCGCCGAAGCGCAUGAACGAAGGUCUCGUGCCUCUAAUCAUGUCGACUCUUCUUCCGGAAGAAGUCUUCCUUCUUUACGUUUGACCUCAAAUCAGG